Molecule: ribosomal RNA, 253 nt
Filed under: uncultured bacterium
Lineage: Bacteria
Description: partial 16S ribosomal RNA
Rfam family: Bacterial small subunit ribosomal RNA
Source: RNAcentral
UACGGAGGAUGCAAGCGUUAUCCGGAAUUAUUGGGCGUAAAGCGUCCGUAGGUGGUGAUUCAAGUCAGCGGUUAAAGCGUGGGGCUUAACCUCAUACAGGCCGUUGAAACUGGAUUGCUAGAGUGCGGUAGGGGUCGAGGGAAUUCCCAGUGUAGCGGUGAAAUGCGUAGAUAUUGGGAAGAACACCGGUGGCGAAAGCGCUCGGCUGGGCCUGCACUGACACUGAGGGACGAAAGCUAGGGGAGCAAACGGG